CGGGGUGCAGCAGGCGCGAAAACUUUACAAUGCUGGCAACAGCGAUAAGGGGACCUUGAGUGCCAGGAUACAAUCCUGGCUGUCGUGAUGCCUAAAAAGCAUUAUAUAGCAAGGGCCGGGCGAGACCGGUGCCAGCCGCCGCGGUAACACCGGCGGCUCGAGUGGUAACCGCUAUUAUUGGGUCUAAAGGGUCUGUAGCCGGCUUGGUUAGUCUCUUGGGAAAUCCGGCAGCUUAACUGUCGGGCUUUCAGGAGAUACUGCCAGGCUCGAGACCGGGAGAGGUGAGAGGUACUUCAUGGGUAGGGGUGAAAUCUUGUAAUCCUUGAAGGACCACCAGUGGCGAAGGCGUCUCACCAGAACGGAUCUGACGGCAAGGGACGAAAGCUAGGGGCACGAACCGGAUUAGAUACCCGGGUAGUCCUAGCCGUAAACGAUACUCGCUAGGUGUCGGCCACGGUGCGACCGUGGUCGGUGCCGUAGGGAAGCCGUGAAGCGAGCCACCUGGGAAGUACGGCCGCAAGGCUGAAACUUAAAGGAAUGGC
This 542-nucleotide ribosomal RNA is filed under the name uncultured archaeon. RNAcentral's name for it is "bacterial SSU rRNA". It matches the Rfam family "Archaeal small subunit ribosomal RNA", at positions 326 to 868 of the family's 1478-position model. The record is from RNAcentral.